Non-coding RNA from Vigna umbellata (rice bean), 1778 nucleotides. The record is from RefSeq and is a predicted model, not a curated record. NCBI's taxonomy places the organism in Eukaryota, Viridiplantae, Streptophyta, Magnoliopsida, Fabales, Fabaceae.
AAGUGUCUUCAUCUUCCUUCUUCACAACUCCAUCUUCAGAAUGCUUUUGCAUUCUCAACUCUUUUUGUUUCUCUGUUGGACCUUUAUAUUCUUACUAUCCCUCCAUUAGUUCUUUCCUACCUAUAUAUGAAGGUUAGUCAUCAGCAUAGUUCUCUGCAUCCUAUGUAGAAAAGGAGAAAAGCUUAAGUUGGUGAGGCUGAUUUGGGAUGAAAGAGAUUCAUUAUGCAGGUGAUGAUAUUGAAUGGAAGUGCAUGUGUUGAAGGGUUCAUUGGUGGUUGGAGGGAUUGUGAUGAGAUAUAUCAUCUCAUGUUGACAGAAGAGAGAGAGCACAACCCGAGAAUGGUUAAAGGAGUGUUUGCCUUUGUUGGGAGUGUGCUCUCUCUUCCUCUGUCAUCAUCACAUUCACAUGCCUUUGCUUUCUAGCUAGCUAAACUGCAACAGUACAUGCACCACUCUCUGUUAUACCUUUCAAGAGCCCAGUUUGGACAAAUCUGAAGCAUAAACAUCGGUGUGCUCUGAAACCCCGGUGUGCCAAUUUUGGUGGGACGUGUACGAGUGGAAAGGGAGAACAAUGGAUACCCUUUUCGUCUUCCUUCUUCCAUGAAGAACACACUUUGUUGCUAUUAAUGGUAUGAGAAACUAAAUUUAAUAACUCCCUUUUUACUCCCUGUCUUAUGUACAAGUGUUUAAUAAUUUACUGUAAGUAAUCUGAAUGCUGUUUUAAUUUUUUAAGAGUAGAUAAUCCUGAUAAUGGUGGGUUAAUACUAAAGGGAAUUUCUCUGAAAUAGAGUCUGAUACCAUCUUAUUAACUUGUUUAAAUUUUACUCAAUCUUAUCUUGUAAGAUAGAUUUACACUCACUUCUAUAUUAUUAUAAUUUGACUAGGAUAACUUUGUUUAAGCAGCAUGAUUUUAGUGUUCAUCAAACCAUUCCAUUGUUGAUAAGAAUGCAAAUAUUUGUUACAGUGAUAACACUCCACUGAUGGCUGCACUGGGAUUAGGUAGAAAAGGGAUAGAUCAGAAAAUGACCUCUUUUCUUUGUUUUGGUUGUGUUUUUUUGACAUUUCUAGUUCUGUAUAUAGCACCCUUUUGAUGAGCACGCUUAUCCACCACCAUAAUUGGAAGGGCAACCAGUUACAUACUCUGCAUCCACCCUAAAACCAGUGUAAACUGAUAUACAUAGGAAAGGUUGUUGCUUACGUGAUAUUAAAGAUUUUACCAUUAUCACUCUAUAAAGGUGAGUUUUGGUCCAUUUGGGAUGGAUUUCAUCCUCAAACGGAUCUACUCAUAAAGGUAACAAUAAAAUUCAGUAAUGGAAUCAAUUAACAUCAUUUUGUGCAAGUCAUCCAACAAGGAAAUCCAUUUCACUACACACCAUAUUUGUUGAUCUUUCUUGAAAAACUUGAGAUAAGUAGCCUCGCUUUAAUUUACAUUUUGGAAAUUGAUUUUAGAAGAUUUUAAUUCUCAAGUAUCUUUGAAAAAAAAUAUUAUUACUCAGAUAUAAUUAUUAAAUAUGACUUUUAAAGUAAUUAUCAGGAAUCUAAAUAAUAAUUUUAAAAAAUAUUUUUAUUUUUUAAAAACUAAAUCAAUAAAAAAAAAGUGUGAAAUAUGUCGCAUAGUACUAGUGGAACAUGACAGCUUUUACAUUUGGCUAUUCCAAGGCAUUGGCAUGCAAGGACUAUAAAUGAAUAAGAUAGAGAGAUCAACAUGUCAACCAAAAUGUUCCUCUCUUAGUAUAGUUGAUACAAUGAAACUUGUAAUUGAGAAUAACCAUUCAAAU